RNAcentral lists this ribosomal RNA (252 nucleotides) under uncultured bacterium. RNAcentral describes it as "partial 16S ribosomal RNA". It matches the Rfam family "Bacterial small subunit ribosomal RNA", at positions 525 to 776 of the family's 1533-position model. The record is from RNAcentral.
ACGGAGGGUGCGAGCGUUAAUCGGAAUUACUGGGCGUAAAGCGUGCGUAGGCGGUUUGUUAAGUCAGAUGUGAAAGCCCCGGGCUCAACCUGGGAAUUGCAUUUGAUACUGGCAGACUAGAGUUUAAGAGAGGGGAGUGGAAUUUCAGGUGUAGCGGUGAAAUGCGUAGAGAUCUGAAGGAACACCAGUGGCGAAGGCGACUCCCUGGCUUAAAACUGACGCUGAGGUACGAAAGCGUGGGUAGCAAACAGG